UAAUAUGCAAGGGGCACAGGGAAGAACUAUGCAGAGGAAACAGAGAGGAACUAACAUGCAGAGGACAGAGAGAGGAACUAACGUGCAGAGGACAGAGAGAGAAUUAAUAGUGCUAAUCGUGCAAAUGGCUUUUGCCUCUUUUCUCUAAUCCCUCCUUUUUGCCCCAACAAUGGAGGAAUCAGGACCAGAGAAGAGGGGAUAUAGUCAUGUGUGUUAAAUGAUUGAGGGGAAAAAAACAGAAAAACUGGAUCAUUGAAGAAAUUAUUCACUCAGACUUCACUCAAGACU
RNAcentral lists this long non-coding RNA (288 nucleotides) under Homo sapiens (human). Its description in RNAcentral is "HSALNT0205358". The record is from RNAcentral. Lineage: Eukaryota; Metazoa; Chordata; Mammalia; Primates; Hominidae.